UGGGUAGUCCGCACGAGCGCACCUCAUCCUUAGUUGCCAUCAUUUAGUUGGGCACUUUAAGGAAACUGCCGGUGAUAAGCCGGAGGAAGGUGGGGAUGACGUCAAGUCCUCAUGGCCCUUACAGGCUGGGCUACACACGUGCUACAAUGGUAUCUACAGUGAGCAGCGAUCCCGCGAGGGUUAGCUAAUCUCCAAAAGAUAUCUCAGUUCGGAUUGUUCUCUGCAACUCGAGAGCAUGAAGGCGGAAUCGCUAGUAAUCGCGGAUCAGCAUGCCGCGGUGAAUACGUUCCCAGGCCUUGUACACACCGCCCGUCACACCAUGGGAGUUGGUUUCACCCGAAGAUAGUGCGCUAACCUGUUUACAGGAGGCAGCUAGCCACGGUGGGAUCAGCGACUGGGGUGAAGUCGUAACAAGGUAGCCGUAGGGGAACCUGCGGCUGGAUCACCUCCUUUCU
RNAcentral lists this ribosomal RNA (455 nucleotides) under uncultured Alphaproteobacteria bacterium. RNAcentral's name for it is "bacterial SSU rRNA". It matches the Rfam family "Bacterial small subunit ribosomal RNA", at positions 1077 to 1533 of the family's 1533-position model. The record is from RNAcentral. Lineage: Bacteria; Pseudomonadati; Pseudomonadota; Alphaproteobacteria.